AUUUAAAUAGUUUAUAUAUAAAAUAUUGAUUUGUGAUGUCAAUGAUAAGAAUUAUCUUUUUAAAUU
Molecule: transfer RNA, 66 nt
Filed under: Nemorilla maculosa
Lineage: Eukaryota; Metazoa; Arthropoda; Insecta; Diptera; Tachinidae
Description: tRNA-His
Source: RNAcentral